UACAGAGGGGGCAAGCGUUGUUCGGAAUUACUGGGCGUAAAGGGCGCGUAGGCGGCCUUCUAAGUCAGACGUGAAAUCCCCGGGCUCAACCCGGGAACUGCGUCUGAUACUGGAAGGCUUGAAUCCGGGAGAGGUAUGUGGAAUUCCAGGUGUAGCGGUGAAAUGCGCAGAUAUCAGGAGGAACACCGAUGGCGAAGGCAGGUCUCUGGGCCACUACUGACGCUGAGAAGCGAAAGCAUGGGGAGCGAACAGG
This 253-nucleotide ribosomal RNA is filed under the name uncultured bacterium. RNAcentral's name for it is "partial 16S ribosomal RNA". It matches the Rfam family "Bacterial small subunit ribosomal RNA", at positions 524 to 776 of the family's 1533-position model. The record is from RNAcentral.